Long non-coding RNA from Centruroides sculpturatus (bark scorpion), 860 nucleotides. RefSeq lists it as uncharacterized. The record is from RefSeq and is a predicted model, not a curated record. The transcript is spliced from 3 exons. Lineage: Eukaryota; Metazoa; Arthropoda; Arachnida; Scorpiones; Buthidae.
AUGGACGAUAAAUCUUUCUUCAAAAAUCGAUAGGAAUGAUGUCGAAUUUCAUACUCUACAGAAAAUAACAAUUAUUGAAGCUUUGUUUUUGAAUUGAGCACUACUUCAUCUAAUUUUACGCCUGCUAAAAAGUUUCUACAAAUCAGUAUGGAAAGUGUACGUUGGGGGCAAGAUGGGAUACCCGUCUAGCCCCAGGUUAACCAUGAAUAUGGCCUAUGAAUUUGGAAGUAUUUUCGGAGGCAGACUUUUUUGCUGCAGAGACUACAAAUAGACAGGAUCCUUCAGCAAGGGUGGUCCUAACAAGAAACAAAAGACAAAUGAAACAGAAUGCCCCUAUUGUGGAGGGUUAUACUCUGUAUUUACAGAGAGUUGGACUAAAUGUAGCUGUUGUGAUAAAUGGGCACACUGUUCUUGUGCCAAUAUUGAAGAAAACGAGUUUAACCAUUUUAAUUUGUCUUUCUUGUAUAUAAAAAUAAUAUCCCAAUCUUACCCCAUCGGUGGGGUAAGAUGGUGCAUUUACAUAUAAUUUUAAAAUAUUAAAUUUUCUAUUUUUUAAAAAACGUUUUUCAAAAAUUAAAUUUUGUAUAUAUUAACACAUAUAUUAACACAAGCGAUCACAUUAAGAAUUUAGGGGAGAGAUCCUUUAAAAAGCCAGAAAUUCAAGGAGAAAGAAUGGUCGUUUCCCCCUAGCUCAGUCUGUUUAUCCUCUGUGUCGAGACUUAAUUUUCGUUCGGCCGUAUUAUAAAGGUUUUUCGGUAGUCAAUCUUCUACCGUGUUAACCCUCUGAACACACCUGAAAUUUCCCUAAAAUUAACAGAGUUUUUUCUUAGUAGCGUUAUUGAUAUCAGAAACUAGCUUUA